This 229-nucleotide unclassified non-coding RNA is filed under the name plant metagenome. RNAcentral's name for it is "partial contains small subunit ribosomal RNA, internal transcribed spacer 1, and 5.8S ribosomal RNA". The record is from RNAcentral.
UCUCCGUAGGUGAACCUGCGGAGGGAUCAUUACAGAGUUCUCGCCCUCGCGGGUAGAUCUCCCACCCACUGUUAUCGUUACUGUGUUGCUUUGGCGGGCCGCCGGGCCCCGCUCGGCCGCCGGCUCCGGCUGGCGCGCGCCCGCCAGAGGCCCAGCAAACUCUGAAUGUUAGUGUCGUCUGAGAACUAUAUAAUAGUUAAAACUUUCAACAACGGAUCUCUUGGUUCUG